Molecule: transfer RNA, 66 nt
Filed under: Batocera lineolata
Lineage: Eukaryota; Metazoa; Arthropoda; Insecta; Coleoptera; Cerambycidae
Description: tRNA-Ile
Source: RNAcentral
AUAGAGUGCCUGAUUAAAGGAUAAUUUUGAUAGAAUUAAUAAUGUGUGCAGCCCUCACCUCUAUUA